RNAcentral lists this long non-coding RNA (797 nucleotides) under Zostera marina. RNAcentral describes it as "long non-coding RNA (ZMAR_LNC004354)". Lineage: Eukaryota; Viridiplantae; Streptophyta; Magnoliopsida; Alismatales; Zosteraceae. The record is from RNAcentral.
ACAACCAGUGGCGUAUCCAGGGGGGCAAGGGAGGGCAAUUGCCCCCCCUAAAAUUUGGAAAUUUUUGGAGGACCUAUAUGUAAUUAAAUUUUUGGAGGACCUAUAUGCAAUUGCCACCACUAAAAUUCUGAAAAGAAGAAUAAUAGAAUAACACAAUAUGAAGUAUAAAAUAAAUGUUGUGAUGUUGUUUUAGAAUUAUUUUCUUUCAGAAUGAUCAAGUUGAAAGGAAAUAAGUAGACUAUCUAUAGUAAACACACAAGAUCGAUCACCAAUCAAUAACAGUAUAAGAUGCCAGAUUUCAAUCAAAUGAGAUGAUUUGUUUUGAAUUUUGGAUUUCAUUAUUAUGUAACUUGAAUUCAAUCUGCUGCAUUAUUAUGCUCAGAAUAAAGUGGCAAACUACUAAGUGAGUCUUUGGUAUAUAGUUUUCCCACCUAAUCCUCCAUAAUCAUAGAGAUAAUUUGUGAAAACCAUUUUCUCACAUUAUCAAAGAAGUGUUUUUCCCUUGAGAGUUCCCAUGCUGUUUUUUUUAUACAGAUGCUUCUGAAUUUUUUUAGGUUGACUAGUGACUACGCUUUCCGCUUGAGUGUUAAUUAGGGAUUUGUCAUUUCAUUUGUCGGAAGUUUAAAAAGAUCUUCUAUAACAAGGUAACAAGGUUCUAUUACUUUUUCAUUUUUAUAAUUGUUAGAUUUAUAAUUUUAUGCAUUAUUUCUUAUAUAAUUUUAUAGUUCGAUUUAAGAAUGUAGGAUUGUAUUCUUAGAUUUAAGGUGAAUCUUAUUUCUUAAAUUACAGUCUUACGG